RNAcentral lists this ribosomal RNA (253 nucleotides) under uncultured bacterium. Its description in RNAcentral is "partial 16S ribosomal RNA". It matches the Rfam family "Bacterial small subunit ribosomal RNA", at positions 524 to 776 of the family's 1533-position model. The record is from RNAcentral.
UACGUAGGUCGCAAGCGUUGUCCGGAUUUACUGGGCGUAAAGAGCGCGCAGGCGGCUGGUCAAGUCCGAUGUGAAAUCUCCCGGCUCAACUGGGAAACUGCAUCGGAAACUGAUCGGCUUGAAGAUGGGAGAGGGUAGUGGAAUUCCCGGUGUAGUGGUGAAAUGCGUAGAUAUCGGGAGGAACACCGGUGGCGAAGGCGGCAUCCUGGACCAAUUCUGACACUGAGGAGCGAAAGCCAGGGGAGCAAACGGG